GUGAGCCACUGCCGUGCCCGCGCUCGAGCCGGCGCGCGCGGUCCCUCACCCGCU
Molecule: microRNA precursor, 54 nt
Filed under: Mus caroli (Ryukyu mouse)
Lineage: Eukaryota; Metazoa; Chordata; Mammalia; Rodentia; Muridae
Description: microRNA 6936 (MGP_CAROLIEiJ_G0007194.1)
Source: RNAcentral